UACGAAGGGGGCUAGCGUUGUUCGGAUUUACUGGGCGUAAAGCGCACGUAGGCGGAUUGGUCAGUUAGGGGUGAAAUCCUGGAGCUCAACUCCAGAACUGCCUUUAAUACUGCCAGUCUCGAGUCCGGAAGAGGUAAGUGGAACUCCUAGUGUAGAGGUGGAAUUCGUAGAUAUUAGGAAGAACACCAGUGGCGAAGGCGGCUUACUGGUCCGGUA
Molecule: ribosomal RNA, 216 nt
Filed under: uncultured bacterium
Lineage: Bacteria
Description: partial 16S ribosomal RNA
Rfam family: Bacterial small subunit ribosomal RNA
Source: RNAcentral